ACAGGACAAGAAGAAAAUUAUAUAGCAAAAUAUCUAGUAAAAAAUGAAGAAAUAAAAAAUGAUAAUGAUAUGUGUCCAGAUCUACCAAGAAGUUUAAUAAAUAGUAAAAAUAUAGCAGAAACAGAAAUAAUAAUAGGAGUUAGAAAAAUAAAAAUAGAAUUUGAAAUAAAGGAAGAAAUGCAAAAAACAGAUAUAAUAUUAGGAAUAAAAUGGUUAGAACAAGUAAAACCAUCAAAUGAUUUUGCUCUAAUUCAAAAGGUGAUCUAUCUUUUAAAAUUGAUUUUAUUAUAAUAUUUUGUAGUUGUUUGUUUUGGACAAGAGUUGAAACUACCAUGUUAUGUCUUGAUUUAUGAGAUGUUUUAUAAAUCAAGAACUUUCAAACAACAAGUUAUGCCCCAUGGGUAAGAGUUGACACUAUCAUAUCAUGUCUUGAUUUAUGAGAUGUUUUAUAACUCUUAUACCUUAAAGGCAAGACUUAGCCCACAAGUUCGACCCAUGGGCAAGAGUUGACACUAUCAUAUUGUGUCUUAAUUUAUGAGAUACUCUAUUAGUCUUGCCUCUGAGGUAAGACUUAGCCCAAGAACCUCCCAAAAAAAGUUACGUCCAAUGGACAAGUGUUGAUACUAUCACAUUGUGUCUUGAUUUAUGAGAUGUUCUAUAAUUCUUACCUUAGAGUUAAAUCUUCUCCCAAAAGACUUUCAAACAAUAAGUUAUGCCCUUAAAUUUACUUUGAUGUCAAAGAAACGAAGAUCCCUUUGCAGAUUAUCUUUCUUUCUAUUUAUUAGCAAAUGUAGUAGAAGUUGAGGAAAAAAAGAAGAAAUAAUAGAGAAAAGAUAAAGAAAAAAAAGAAGAAAAAAAAAUUAACGGUUAAGAAAAAAGAGAAGAAUGAAAAAUAAAAUAAAUAAAUAUUGAAAAAAAAAACUAGAAAAAAAUAAAAAUAAAAUUUGAGAAAAAAGAAAAAAAAAAGGGGAAAUGAUAAAGAAAAGAAAAGAAAAAAAAUGAGUAAUGGUAAAGAAAAGAAAAGAAAAGAAAAUGAGAAAUGAUAAAGAAAAGAAAAGAAAAGAAAAAUAAAAGUUGAGACAAAUGAAUAAAAAAAAUGAAGAAAUAAAUAAUAUUUGAAAAAAAUAAAGGUUGAGAUAACGGAAUUAAAAUAAUAAAAAAUAAAAAUCAAAGGAAAAAUAAAAGAAGAAAUAAAAAUGAAAGUUGAGAGACAAAUAAAUAUGAAAAUUGUAAAAAUAUUUGAGGUGUAAAUUAGUAAAAAUGUACUUAUACUGUAUAUUAAAAUAAAGAAAGGCCAGUGUUUAAGAUUUUUUCGGGGGGAUAAAAACCAAAGUCAGGUAUACCAUGUAGUUUCUUGUACCACGACAGCCUUUUCUACGGGCUAUGUUUGGGCUCGUUUGGCCACCAAGUUGCUCAACGUACUCAAGUAUCCAAACUCAGCCCAUACGUUAAAGCCCCAGUCCAAACCAGACAGGUGAAACCAAACUUACUCCGGUCCAAAUUUUAUUUUGACAAGCCUCGUUUGUUAAUUUUGGUGUUAACGAUUAUUCCUGAAUAAAGUACAACAAUGAUAAUGUAGGAACUUUAAGAAAAAGAAAUAUGAAUAGAAAACUAGCACAAUCAAGGUACAGUGCUUGACACAACACUUCAUUCAAAAGGCAAUGCUAAAUAUCAACUCAAAGUAGUACUUUGAUCUUUAGUUUGAUUUGAUAUCCAAACGUGUUUAGAACACACGUUUGGGCAUCUUUUUGCAUAUGUGAAUCAGAAUAUACAAGGUAAAAAGAAAAGUUGGUGAUGACUGACCGAUGAGAGCUUAUUGAGGAGUUUGAGAUGACAUAUUGUGGGCCUAUCCUCAGUGUUUGGUUUGGAAACGACAAUCAUUAUUUUGACACUUUCUUCCCAAGUGGGUUUUUUUAUUUUGGAGUAGGCAUUAUCUUUGAAGUGACUAUUUUUUAAUUCUCUUUUCCCUCCUUGUUGAAGUGACUAUUUUUGCUAACUUUCUACAUUUUCUUUUAAAUUUCUUUCUUUUGGGUUUACAUAUCAAUCAUUUCAUUUUCUGUAAUCUUUUAUUUUCUAUUGUAUGGUAAUUCCUUCCUCUGUUUCAUAAUAAAUGAAUUAUUGAAUUUUGAUAUACAUAUUAAGGAAAAAGCAUUAAAAAUAUAAUUUUAACACACCUUUUCAUUUUUAACCCCUCCAAAAAAAAGUUGACCUUGUAAUAUUUUUUCAAAAGUUAAUUAAUUGUCAAAUCAUAAGGACAAAUUUUAAAAAAAUUUAAUGAUACAAUUCACUUAUUUUGAAACAGAGAGAUUAUUAUUAAUCAUGCAAAUUGUAAAAGGAAAAUUCAUCUCUCAUGUCAUAUCACGUGCACAAUGCAACUUAUAACGUUUGAGUGAUUGCGCAAUCACUUAUUAUUGGGAACUAAUAGAGUAGCAAACUGCAGAGUCGAGUUUUAGGUUCUUUGCAAAUCAUCAUUCAAAUGUUACAUUUGCAAUAAAGUUUCACAAUUUCGUCUCCCCGACCAAGACAAAAGCUUUUUUUUCUAUUUUUUGGUUUUCCAAUCGAUGCUUCACACUUAUUUUAUUCGAGGUCCAGUUUAUUCGAAUUCAUUACUUAGAAACCUCUCUCCAGAGAUAAAACACUUCCUAUCAUAGGUAAUUUUAUUUUUAAAAUUCGAAUCCUAAUCCUAUAUUUAAGAAUGAAUAAAUACUUGUCACUGUACUACAAAUCUUUAAUAGUACAAAAACUCUUUAAAUUAGAAAUUAAAGAAAACUGCAAGAAUACAUGGUGUAUAUGCUAUGUAUAUAAUAUGUGUGCGCUCUUACUGGUAAAGAAAUACAAAAAAGAAAAGAUAAAGAGGAAAUUUGAAUGCCAAAAGGCUCAUUAUCAGAGCAAUCAAAACAAGGAACUUCAAAAAGCUACGCUAGUUCAACGCGUGCAAAACUGCAAGUUGGUAAGCGAUUACGACGUGUUGCCCUAUUGAAGUGGGAUAGAACUGAGUUCCCCUUUUGAAUUACUGCAGAUGAACAGAAGUAUUAGAACGAGGUGGGGCAGGAAAAUAUACUUACGUUCUGAUAUUUGGUAUUUAAGCUAAAUCAUAUUAGCUAAUUUUUGUCAAGUGAUAUGCGAAGGUAAAAAUAUAUACUAUAUUCUAAUAGGUUCAGAAAAAGUUGUGAAUAGUGUUUCAAAAGGAAGUUUAUCUCAUUGGUUAUUAAAUUAUUUAUCACUUAGGUCUUAUUUAUCAUUACUCUUUAAAAGGAUUGCUAAAAUUAUUUUUGACAUUUUGAGCCCACAAGAAAUAUAUCCAAAUGCAUGCUUACCGGGGAAUGUCCAACCAAAUUCAUUCCCUUGCAAUGAAAAUAGUCAAAAUCCACUACUUUUAUUUCUAAGCUCUAACGCCAUCAACACGGUAAUAAAUAUUACAGCUGUUAUAUAAUCUGGCUCUUACAACAUAAUCAUUGAUUUCUCUUCAAUUCUUCUCUCUUCUGAUCCGUCGAAUUAAUUGUUUGUUAUUUCUACUGCUAAUUUAUAUUAAAAUUAGUUGUUAAAUUUGGAAAAUACAUGUUUACUGAUGAAAUAUCCUCAAGAAUAUUACUCUUAACACGCUUCAAAUUAAUUUUGAAGAAUUCCUGUGUAUUUCUUUGAUUGAUUCCAUUAAUUUCCCAACAUUAUAAUUAGUCAAGGUGAAUGAUAAAAAUGUAUAGAAGACAUGCAUUUAUUAGUAAAAUACAAAUAUCGUGUCUAAGACAAAAAUUACAAAUAUAAUUCUAAUAUGUAUUUAUAACAAAUUAAUCAGCCAUUUCUAUAUUUGAUAGAGUAAGUAUUACACACAGAGGGGUUCAUGUUUUUUUCUCUUCAGCGGAUAGAGAACAACACACCAUCUUCUUCUUCUCCAUGCUUCCACCAUUAGCAACAGAAUACACAACUCUUUCUUCAAUUUAUGGACCAACUAAUAAAAUUCUCCAUUUUCAAGCAAAUCAAAAUACACUCACCUUAACUUAGCAGUAACAUACUUCUUCCCCUCCAUAUGCACAAUUUGAAAAAAAAAAAAAUAGAUGGUGAUGAGAUUACAAAAUAUGACGAAAAAAAAUAAGAGAGAGAAAAAUACACAUAGUAAAGGUGUAACUGUGUGUGAAAAGAGAGAGAGAUACUCGAAUUGAAGAAACUUUUUUGAGGAAUUUAAGGUCUGUUUAUUGGCGAAUUUACGCGAAGAAAAUUAAAUGGUGUAAUUGUGUGAAAAAGAAGGAAAGAGAUGAUGUUUGUGAAGUUUAUUUUUGGGUAAAUUAGAGAGAGGUAAAAUAAUGUAGUGAAAAUAGUAGAAAAAAGAGUGAAAUAAGCGUGUAUAGAGCUAAUGGGUAAAAAAAUAUUACUUUUGCUAUAAAAUAUAAUUUUGAGAAAGUGUUGUUAUUUAUUGUAAUUAUGGUCUUAAGUUUGUCACUUCCUGUAAUUUUUUUUAUUUUUAUUAUCAAUUUAUUUGACACAAAUAAAAUUUAGAUAAUUAAUUAUAUUUUAAAUAUGUUUUUAGAUGUUUUAAGUUGUUAGCUAUUGUAAUUUAGAAUACUUUUUUGGCAUUGUAAUUAACUAUUUUAAAUUGUUAGCUAUUAUAAUUUAUAAUAUUCUCUUAUCUAAACUUUUGUGGCAUUGAUAAUCGGUUAUAUUUUUAAAAUAAUUUAACUCUUUAAUUAUUGUGAUUUAUACUACUUUUUCUUUUAUUGCAAUUAAGUGACGUUGAUAUAAUUUCGAGAGUCAACCAAAUAUUAUGAUUGAAAUAGUGAAGCAGAAAUGUCAUGAAUGACUCAUAAUGACUUAUUGGAAGUGAUAUAAUGAAAAUAUUAUAAAAAAUAGUUGUUAAAAAAAUUUAAGCGGACCCCAUAUAAGAAGUCAAGUUAAUUUAAAACAUCAAUAGUUAAUUUAUUAUUGUUUAAAAUUUAUUUUAUCUUUUUUAUUAUUAAUUUUUUAAUACUUAGAUGACUUAUAAUAAUUAAUUAGAGAUGAAAUAGUAAAAUUACAGUUGAAGCAGCUGAAAUAGCCAUAUCAUAAAUGUCUAUUUUACUUUUAUUUUUUAUUAAAUAUUAUUAUUUUUUUAAUACUUAACUGACAUAUAAUAAUUAAUUAGGAGUGAUAUAGUAAAAUCAUGGAGUAAAAAGACACGUCAACGGAGAGGUGCUUGCUUCUUCACUCUUAAGUGAUACUGAUAUCAUUUCGAGAGUCAACUACAUAUCACGAUUGAAGUAGCGAAGUAGACAUGUCUUAAAUGACUCAUAAUACCUUAUUAGAAGUGAUACAACAAAAUUACUAUAAAAAAUAGUUGUGAAAAAAAUUAAGCAGUUCAUAUAAGAUGUCGAGUAAAUUUAAAACAUCAAUAGUUAAUUUUUUUUUAAUUUUUUUAUUAAAUAUUCUUUUAAUACUUAGAUGACUUAUAAUAAUUAAUUAGGAAUGAAAUAGUAAAAUUACGGUUGAAGCAGCUGAAGUAGAGAUGUCGUAAAUCUCUAUUUUACCUUUUUUAAUUAAAUACUAUUAAUUUUUUAAUACGUAAAUAACAUAAAAUAAUUAAUUAAGGAUAAUAUAGUAAAAUCACAUAUUAAAAAGGCACAUCAACGAAGAGGUGUCUGAUUCUUCGUUUUUCUACAUAGUACUAACUAGGGAGGAUAUGACUCGUGUUAGCACGGACUCAACGUAAAGAACAUUUUUAGGUUAAUUAUUAUGAUUUAUAAUAUUUUUAUGUUAUUUUAAAAUAAUAUAUAUCACACCCUCUAUCUAAUCUAUGUGCUAUUGAUUGCUAAUUAUUAUGAUUUAUAAUACUUUUAUGCAAUUCUCAAAUAUAUAACAGAUUAAAAAGAAAAGUAAAAUAAAUAAAUAUAAAAUGAAAUAUCUAAGCAGGCAACACAAGCAAACAGGUUGAUCUGCUACCUGCUUAUCAUUCUUUAUAAGUGAGGUAAUAAAUCACAAAUGUCAAUUUAAGUGGCAUAAUGCUUGGAUGAUUAUAAUAAUUUAUUAGAGGUCAUAUAAUAAAAUCAUGAUUGAAGCAGCAAAGCAAACAUGUCUUAAACGACUUAUAACACUAAUUAGAAGUAACAUAGCAAAAUUAUUAUAAAAGAUAUUUGUGAAAAAAAGUUUAAGUGGGCCUCAAGAGUUAAUUUAUCAUUUUAUGUUUAUAUUACUUUUUAAUUAAAUAUUAUUAAUUUUUUAAUACUUAACUGACUUAUAAUAAUUAAUUAGGGAGAUAUUUAGUAAAAAUUGAUAUAGCAAAGUUGCUAUAAAAAUUAUUUGUGAAAAAAAAUUAAGUGUGUCUUAUAUAAGUCGUCAAGUUAAUUUAAAACAAUAAGAGUUAAUUUAACAUUUUAUUUCUAUUUUACCUUUUUAUUAAAUAUUAUUAAUUUUUUAAUACUAAAAUGAAUUAUAAUAAUUAAUCAUGGGAGAUAUUCAGUAAAAUUAUGGUUGAAGCAACUGAAGCAGGCAUAUCAUAAAUGUUUAUUUUUUAUCAAAUAUUAUUAUUUUUAAUUUUAAUACAUAAAUGACUUAUAAUAAUUAAUUAGGGGUGAUGUGGUAAAAUCACAGAUGAACUUAUAUAUUUGAAAAUUACAUAAAAAGUAAUAUCCUAUAAGUUAUAUUAAUUGACAAUUCAAAAUAUUUUAAAAAUGUAUGAAAGUGAAAAAUACGAUCAAAGAUAGACAUUAGGAUAGCGAGAGUGACAAUCAAUAAUUCAUAGGAGUAGCAUACUUAAUCAAAUAUAGAAUUAAUUUUUUGCAUAUAAAAGAAUAGUGAAUUAUUAGAUUUGAUGUAAUAGUAAAUUAUGUUAGUCCUCACGAAGGCAACAUUUUAUUAAGUGUUUAUGUCGAAUUUAAUAAAUAUUUCUUUAGUUCAUUUUUAUUUGGUUCACUUUGACUUGACAUAGGUCUUAAGAAAAAAUUUAUUAGAAACUUUCCUUACUAAUAAAUUUAUUUAUAUAUUUUGAAAACCUAAAUUUGAUGAUUAGUACUUUAUAAUUUUUUCAUCAUAGAUUUAAUGUUAGGAUAAAAUAAUAGUCUCUUUUAAUUUUCUAAAAUAAAUAAGUAAGAAGGAACAUAACAUUUUUAGCAUAAAGAUAAAUAAAAAGAAAUAUAGGAUAUUUAUUUAAUUUUAAUAUUUAAUUAAAAUUAAUUAAAAUAAAUUAUCAUAUUUCGUGUUUUGUUUUUCAAGAAUCAAUUUGAAUAAUUUAUAAAGAUAAAUUAAAUAUAAUUAAUUUAAUAUUUUUAAUUAAAAAUUGGAUAUUCAAAAACUAUGCAAAAUGUCCUUUAAAUUGCAAUUUUUCUCAUUUCAAUACGAUGAAAGAUAUAUCUUAAAAUGUUGGUCACAAUUUAUAUUAUUUGACUAUAAAAAAGAAACCUAUGACAAAUAAAAAGAAAAGAAGAGAAUAAAAAAUUGAAUAUAAAUAGCAGUAAAUAUUUACCCUCACAUUAAAAUGAAAAAUAUUGUGGGAAUAUUAUUUACCUUUUACGUAUUCAAAUAAAUAUUAUACAGAAGAAAUGAGAGAUAAUUAUCUAUGGGACCCAUCAUAUUCAAUAGCAUCUAUUGCAUGAGUGGUAAUCUAUUGAAAAAGGGUGAACUUUAUUUAAAAUUGCUGAAACAGUCCAACAAAUAAAGCACAAACACAUAAUAGAUAUUUAACCAAGAUUACUCUACAAAAUGAUUUAAAGUCUGUUAUGUCCUUAAACUUUUUAUUCUAUACCUAGAAACUAAUACGUCGAAACCUAUGAGUUUUAAGUUGGUUGAAUAGACGACACUCUUAUAACGUGCAUGCACUUUUCAGCCCACAUAAUUACUAAAGGGGUAAACAAUACAAAAAUAAAUAACUAAUAGGUCAUAGGACUUCUGCAUAGUUUGUGUGUGGGAUUGACAAUUUUCACUAUAAUUCAUGUGUAUUUUUAUGCCUUAUUCCUUCAUAUUUUAUUAUGUUAAGAGUGUACUUGAACUGAUCAUUUAGUCUAACUUAACAAUUGGCAUAUAAAAUUAAUAGAUUGAAGAGACGAGUAUUGAAAUGGAGCAAUAAUCAUCUAACUUAUGAUUUCGAUGGCCAAAAUGUCAGAUCAAAUCUCUAGAAGAUAUCUUAAAGUAUAACUUCCCACUUCCUAGUUUCCUUAGAAAAUAAUUUCAUGAUUGAAAUACUAAUAAUAUAUCACCAUCCAAAAAAAAAAAAAUACUAACCAUUUGAUAAAAUGUAGAUAUACCAUUUUGAAAAUUAUUCAUACUGAAAGCAAUAUACAUAUAGAGAGAGUCAGACUUCUUGCUACACCACUAAAAAAAGGUCAAAAAAAGAUGACCAGUGUCUCUUUUUUGGCCAAAAUCGACGGAAAAGUGACACUGUCACUUGCGUCGCAAAAAGGCCAAUUGUUUUUUGAAAACAACGGCCUGUGUCGCUUUUUUUUUUUACGACGGAUAACAUCGUUUUUUGAAAAAAAAAAGUUGUUUUAGUUAUUUUUAGAAAAAGCGAUGUUGUGCGUCGUUUUUGUUCUUCAUGUGAAGAACAAAUGAUGAAUAAAUAACGACGAACAUCGUCAUUUUAUUGAAGAAAAAAAUAAUUUUUUUUCAUAAAAAACGAUACUGUCCACCGCUUUAUGAAAAUAAUAACAUUUUUCUUCAGAAAAAGCGACGUUGUUCAUCGUUUUUUGUUCUUCAUGAUGAAGACAAAAAGCGAAGAACAACAUCACAUUUUUGAAAAUUUAUUUUAAAAAUUUUCAGAAAAACGACGAACAAAAGGGACCUUGUCCGUCGCUUUUCUGUAUAUUUUUUAAAUGUAGAAAUCUGCAUAUUCUGCAUCCCACCUACCAAAUAAAAAUGCAAUUCAAUAUAUACAGUCUCAUGCAACACACAUUUCUAAAAUAACCAUACAACGCACUACAUUAUCAAAAUAUUUAAGCAAUCCAAAUCAACAACACUUAAGAAAUCAAAUCCAAAAUCCAAAACACUCAAUAAUUAAUCCAACAAUAAUCAAAACACUUAAACAAUCCUAAAGUUUCUUCAUUAGAGUUUAUAGGCGUCCUAGAUUUCUUCUUAGCAGUUGACUUCGAACUCUUAUCAGGACGAGGCCGAUCGCCGUCACCACCGGAUGUCAUCUGUCUGCAAAUUUACAUCAAAACAUAUAAAAAUCAAGUCAUUAGUUCAUAUUUCAGGUGACUACAUUUAACUAUUUUCAAGCUACUAGUACACAUUUCAAAACACUACACUGAACCAUUUUCAACUCUCUAAUUCACAUUUCAAGUGACUAAACUUAAUCAUUUUCAAGUCAUGAAUUCAUAUUUCAAGUGAAAAUAGUAAACCAAUUUCAAGUCAUGAAUUCACACUUUCAAUUGAUUAUACUUUACUAAUUUCAAAACAAAAGUUCACCUUUCAAGUAAAUAAACUAAACCAUUUUCAAGUCACUAAUUCUCUUCUCAAGUGACUACACUUGAUCAACUUUGAAGUCACUAGUACACAUUUCAAAACACUACACUGAAUCAUUUUCAACUCUCUAAUUCACUUCUGAAGUGACUAAACUUAACCAUUUUCAAGUCAUGAAUUCACAUUUCAAGUGACAACACUAAACCAAUUUCAAGUCAUGAAUUCACACUUUCAAUUAAUUAUACUUUACUAAUUUCAAAACACAAGUUUACCUUUCAAAUAACUACACUAAACUAUUUUCAAGUCACUAAUUCACUUCUCAAGUGACUACACUUUGAUCAAUUUUGAAGUCACUAGUACACAUUUCAAAACACUACACUUAACCAUUUUCAACUCUCUAAUUCACUUCUCAAGUGACUAAACUUAACCAUUUUCAAGUCAUGAAUUCACAGUUCAAGUGACAACACUAAACCAAUUUCAAGUCAUGAAUUCACACUUUCAAGUGAUUACACUUUACUAAUUUCAAAACACAAGUUUACCUUUAAAGUAACUACACUAAACCAUUUUCAAGCCACUAAUUCACUUCUCAAGUGACUAUACUUGAUCAAUUUGAAGUCACUAGUACACAUUUCAAAACACCACACUUAACCAUUUUCAACUCUCUGAUUCACUUCUCAAGUGAUUAAACUUAACCAUUUUCAAGUCAUGAAUUCACAUUUUAAGUGACAACACUAAAUCAAUUUCAAGUCAUGAAUUCACACUUUCAAGUGAUUAAACUUUACUAAUUUCAAAACACAAGUUUACCUUUAACUUUACUAAUUUCAAAACACAAGUUUACCUUUAAAGUAACUACACUAAACUAUUUUCAAGCCACUAAUUCACUUCUCAAGUGACUACACUUGAUCAAUUUGAAGUCACUAGUACACAUUUCAAAACACCACACUUAACCAUUUUCAACUCUCUAAUUCACUUCUCAAGUGAUUAAACUUAACCAUUUUCAAUUCAUGAAUUCACAUUUUAAGUGACAACACUAAACCAAUUUCAAGUCAUGAAUUCACACUUUCAAGUGAUUACACUUUACUAAUUUUAAAACACAAAUUUACCUUUCAAGUAACUACACUAAACCAUUUUCAAGUCACUAAUUCACUUCUCAAGUGACUGCACUUGAUCAAUUUGAAGUCACUAGUACACAUUUCAAAACACCACACUUAACCAUUUUCAACUCUCUAAUUCACUUCUCAAGUGAUUAAACUUAACCAUUUUCAAUUCAUGAAUUCACAUUUUAAGUGACAACACUAAACCAAUUUCAAGUCAUGAAUUCACACUUUCAAGUGAUUACACUUUACUAAUUUUAAAACACAAAUUUACCUUUCAAGUAACUACACUAAACCAUUUUCAAGUCACUAAUUCACUUCUCAAGUGACUGCACUUGAUCAAUUUGAAGUCACUAGUACACAUUUCAAAACACCACACUUAACCAUUUUCAACUUUCUAAUUCACUUCUAAAUACUGAACCAUUUUCAAGUCAUGAAUUCACAUUUUAAGUGACAACACUAAACCAAUUUCAAGUCAUGAAUUCACAUCUAAAUUCUAGUAGGAUUUAUACAACUACAUAGAGUCAUCCUAUAAUAUUAGCUACUGCCUCCUAACAACAAUACAUAUAAAAUAUCCCCUAAUCAUUUUUAAAAAAAAAAACUUCAAAAUAAUAGGAUAAUAUUAAGCCCAAGGAUUCCAAUAACCUUUCCAUGAGCUCAUCGCAAUCAUACAUACACAAUUAUCAAAUAAAACAUGCAUUUAAGAAGGGGCAAAAAUAGGCAGUUGCCUUGCCUUAGUUUUUUCUAAAAAAAAUUAUCCUCUUAACUUGUAUCUCUUAAAGAUCUUGAUUCAUUCACACAAACAGAAUUCACAAGGGAAACACACGAGGGAGUACUCAACAACUAUUCACAUUUCCCAAAAUUCACAGUACUAACAAACAAUUUGGUCAACACAAAAUAGAAAUAUGAAAAUACUCAACCGUAAUAUGUAUAAGAAAAUAAAAAAAAAUAGUACUUCUAAAAAUUAAAAAAAAAAAUUUAAAGUAUAUUUUAAAGAAUAUAAAAGAUACCUAGUUGAAUAUAUUGAUGAUGAAAGUUUGGAGAGAAGUGAAAAUGGGAGUUUCAGUUAUUUUUGAGUAAGAAGUAAAAGGUUGGUUGGUUGUCGGCGGCUGAAGGAGGGCGUCUGUCGGCGGUGAUAGCGUGGACAGAUAGUUGGUUGUCGGUGGCUGUUGUGGUUGUGGUGGUGAUGGUGCGGACAGUGAAGGGCAUCGCCGGCGAUGGCGCCGGCUGUGAAGGUGGCCGGAGUUUAGAGAGAGCGAGAGAGGAGAUGUAAUUAAAAUUGUUGAGAGUGAGUUUAGGGUUUUGAUAUUUGGGUGUUUUUAUAUGAAAAACAAGGUUUAAUCUCAACCUUCAAUCUCAUGAGAUGGACGACUGUGAUUAAAAUUGAAAAGAAAAUUGAAAAUUGAUUUAAAAAAUGAACCAAAUUGAAUUCAAAAAUAGGUUAAUAUUGACAUCAAUUAGAUAUAAGGUUAGUAAGAAUUUAAAUAAAAUUAAAAUGAUAAUUGAAUGGACUUAGACUGCUAGUUAAAUAUAAAAAUAAAUUCAUAAUAAUAAUAAAUAAAUAAUAUUAUGAAAAUUGUUAUUCUUACAAAUAAAUUACGUAUGUCACAGAGAAAAUAUUAUAUAAAAAUUACCGAUAAUAAAUAUGAAAUAAGUUGGGCAUAAAUGUAAUAAUAAUAAUAAUAAAGGUGACAUCUUUUUAUUGUUUUCUCUAUGAGAUUCUGAGAAAAUGAAUACAAUAAUUAGCCCGAUUUAGUCUCACAAAUUAGAUUUUGUGGAGGGUACAAUGUACGUAGACCUUACCGCUAAGGUAGAUAGGUUGUUUUCAAUAGACCAAGAAACAUAGUCUGAAGUAGUCCGAUUUCAAGAAAAAAAAUACUGAAAAUUGAUUUAAUAUUGAUCAUUGAUCAAAUAUGAUGAAUGGUUGGAAUUAAAAUUGAGGAGAUGAGCCAAUUAAGAUUAAAAAUUGGGUUAAAAAAGAUUGAAUUGGGGAUUUUGAUUGAGUCCAACUAAACUCAAUUGACACAAAUUGAGUAUAAUAUGGCUAGAAUUUAAAUAAAUUAGAAAAAUUGAAUUGAAUUAGGUUGAUAUUUAAUAAGUAUAGUAACUAUAUAAAAUUAAUCUUAAAAAAUAAAUAAAAUUAUUAUAUUCAAAUUAAUUAUAAAUAAAUUGUGUAAAUAAAAUUAAUAAUGUCAAUCGCAUAAUAAUGUCAAUGCAUUUCAUAUUCUACAAAUAAUUUUUGAUUAAUUAAUUUUUGAGUACGGUAUUAAAUAUAUAUAUCUCGUAAUACAACGUAUUAAUCUGAUGAAUUAUCUAUUAAUUAGUUUUAUUAUUAUAACUUCAAUAGUGUAUUAUUACCUCGAUCAUAUGAUGUUACAUAUUAUUCAAAAUAUUUGGAUAGAUAGCUUCAGUUAGCUAGCUUCUGACUACUAUUUAAAUCACUACACGAGAGAGACAUAUACAUACAUACAUACAUACAUACAUACAUAUGUGUGUAUAUAUAUAUUUAUAUAUAUAUAUAUGCAUACAUACAGACACACACACACAUAUAUAUAUAUAUAUAUGAUUGACUAUCAACUUCGAAAUAUGUACUAUAUACAUCACAUACACGAGUAUAUUACCUCGUAAUACAAAGUAUUUCAUAUAUACUCAAAUGAAUUUUCAUUUAAUUUAACUUAUAUUAUUAUAUUAUAACUUCAACAGUAUAUUUUACCUUGAUCAAUAUAUUGUAUGAUAUCAAUGUAUUGAAUAUAUAAUUGAAUAUAUUUAAUUUUUUAAAAUAUAAAAAUUAUUUAUUUAGUGGUAAAUUAAAAAUAUCAAAUAUCGACGGACAGUUUUGCUUUCAUAAAGUUAAUUUUUAUUUAUUUUUAACAAAAAACGACAUUGUUCAUUGCUUUUUGUAAAAAAAAUAUAGAAAAAUUAAAAAUAAUUAAAAUUGUGACGGAUAGCAUUGCUUUUCUGGAACUUAUAUUUUAAGAAAAAAAUUAUAGCGACGUUGUCCGUCGAUUUUAAUAAAAAUAAAUAAAAAUAAAAAUUAAAUUUAAAAAUCGACGGACAACGUCGCUUUUUAUCAGAAAUUUAAUUUUUAUUUAUUUUUAACAAAACCAACACUGUCCGUCACUUUUUGUAAGAAAUACAGAAAAAUAAAAAUAAUUAAAAAUUGCGACGUACAAAGUCGCUUUUCUAGAAUGAAAUUUUAAAAAUAAAAAAUUAUAGCGACGUUGUACAUCGAUUUUAAUAAAAAUAAAAAUUAAAUUUAAAAAUAGACGGACAACGUUGCUUUUUUAAAACUAAUUAUUAUUAUUAUUAAAUAAAUAACGAAGAUAUCCGUCACAUUUAUUAAAAAAAUAUAAAUUAUUUUUUAAUUAGUUGGCAUAAUAAUUCGCGAAAAAAAGUGACGGAUAUUAAGACGUUGGCCGUCGAUUUGAAUAAAAAUAAAUAAAAAUUAAAAUUUAAAUUAAAAAAGCGACGGAUAGUGUCGCUUUUCUUGUCGUUUUUUAAAGGAGACACAAUUCUUCGCUUUUUUAUGCGUUGCUUUUGGCCUUUUUAGUAGUGAUAAUGUCAUCUCGUUAUAACGAUAUUUUAUUAUAGCGAUUUGAUUUUCUCUGAAAAUGAUAUUUUAUGUUAUAUUUUACUUCUCUAUAAUUGCAUUUUACAUGUAAUAAUAAUGACAUUUAUUAUAGUGGUACACUUUGUAAAAUUACCUCUCUAUAACAAUAUACUCAAAAUUUAUGUAAUAAUAUUUGCUAAGAAAUAUAUUAUGUAUAAAAUAAAAGAGUUAAUACAUAAAAACUGACCCUAAACUUGACACCAAAUUAUAAUUUUGACCUUAAACUUUGAUAGUGCAUAAAUAGGACCUUUAACUAUUCAAAACCUGAACAAAUAUGACCUCCAAUUUUGCAACCCCAUGCGUGAGUUUCACUCGCGCCUACGUAGAAAGGUAAUCCAAUCACACGGUGCCAAAUCGUUAAAAGGGCUGACUUGGAGGGAGGUCAUAUUUGUGCAGUUUUGAAUAGUUAAAGGUCAUAUUUGUGCACUGUUAAAGUUUUGAUUUUUGUGUUAAAAAGGCAUUAUUAUUAUUAUUAUUAUUAUUAUUAUUAUUAUUAUUAUUAUUAUUAUUAUUAUUAUUAUUAUUAUUAUUUCUAUAGAUGCAACACCUAACUUUUUUUUUAAUUAAAAAAUCGAACCUGCACAGUAGGCUGAAGGAAGCGCUCAAGAAGAGCAAAUAAUACCACUGGGCUAUCUAAGUGCCUUGUUUCAUGUGGUUCAACAUUAAUAUACGUACAUAAAUACACAUUUUCUAUAUUAUAUAUAUACAACAUAAUUUUUUUACCAAGGGGGUUCGGGUGAACCCCAUGGCAACCACGUAGGUCGGCCCCUCGUUAAUUUAAUAACGUUUUAGUAACGUUAAUUUAAUAAUAUUUUAAUUACGUUAAUUUAAUAUACUACUACUACUACUAUCCUUAAUAACAUUAAUUUAAUUACGUUUUAUUAAACUAUAAUAUUUUUAUUAUUAGUAUAGUUUCAUCUUUAAUUUAAUUUUUGAAUAAAUAAUAUUUAGAUAUAUUAUAUAACUUAAAUUCGUCCUCUGCUUUAUUAUAUCUAUACAUACCCGCUCGAUUUUUUCAUAUGAGGCUGACCCGCCUAAUUAAUAAAUCUUCAAUAUUGCCCUUUUUCCGCAAUGACAAAAGAAAUUAGAUGUCAUUUUCAUCUUUGAGCUGAAAAUAAUUAAAAAAUAAUAGUAAAGAGUCAUUUAAAGGUCAUAUUUGUACAGUUUUGAAUAGUUAAAGGUCAUAUUUGUGCACUGUCAAAGUUUAAGGUCAUAUUUAUGUAUUAUGCCCUUAGAUUUUAAGUUGGACGCACCCAUUUUUGCGUGUUGAACACGCGUUUUGCCACAUAGGAUUGGAGGUCAUAUUUGUGCAGUUUUGAAUAGUUAAAGGUCAUAUUUGUGCACUGUCAAAGUUUAAGGUCANNNNNNNNNNNNNNNNNNNNNNNNNNNNNNNNNNNNNNNNNNNNNNNNNNNNNNNNNNNNNNNNNNNNNNNNNNNNNNNNNNNNNNNNNNNNNNNNNNNNNNNNNNNNNNNNNNNNNNNNNNNNNNNNNNNNNNNNNNNNNNNNNNNNNNNNNNNNNNNNNNNNNNNNNNNNNNNNNNNNNNNNNNNNNNNNNNNNNNNNNNNNNNNNNNNNNNNNNNNNNNNNNNNNNNNNNNNNNNNNNNNNNNNNNNNNNNNNNNNNNNNNNNNNNNNNNNNNNNNNNNNNNNNNNNNNNNNNNNNNNNNNNNNNNNNNNNNNNNNNNNNNNNNNNNNNNNNNNNNNNNNNNNNNNNNNNNNNNNNNNNNNNNNNNNNNNNNNNNNNNNNNNNNNNNNNNNNNNNNNNNNNNNNNNNNNNNNNNNNNNNNNNNNNNNNNNNNNNNNNNNNNNNNNNNNNNNNNNNNNNNNNNNNNNNNNNNNNNNNNNNNNNNNNNNNNNNNNNNNNNNNNNNNNNNNNNNNNNNNNNNNNNNNNNNNNNNNNNNNNNNNNNNNNNNNNNNNNNNNNNNNNNNNNNNNNNNNNNNNNNNNNNNNNNNNNNNNNNNNNNNNNNNNNNNNNNNNNNNNNNNNNNNNNNNNNNNNNNNNNNNNNNNNNNNNNNNNNNNNNNNNNNNNNNNNNNNNNNNNNNNNNNNNNNNNNNNNNNNNNNNNNNNNNNNNNNNNNNNNNNNNNNNNNNNNNNNNNNNNNNNNNNNNNNNNNNUUGAGAGUACAAUAAUGAUGAAACUGUUAAGGGGAUCUUAUAAAAAGUUACAUCAUGUGUAAAGGUAAUGGGAGAAGAACGAGGUUGAGAGAACACCCUUGGAUUAGUUGAUUGUGGAUUACUGCCCGGUUACUAUUUUAGUAAGUUUAAAUGGCGUGAAUAUGUUAAUUAUCUACUAAUACUAGUCUUAUGCUAUUGUAGAUUAGUAAUCUAAAAGGAAAGACGUUAAGUGAAAGUGUGAUCAGUUGUGCAGCAAGGUAUGUAUGGUUCAUCGAUCCUACCCUUUGACAUGAAUCUAACUCCUUUGUUACAAAGAAAGUUUCCUAAGCGUUCUUCCUUUCAAGUUAUACAUAACUACAACGUACAACCCCCAAGGUGGUUAACAACCUUAUUCUACCUUGUCAAGUUGUUAAAGUACCUAAAGAUGUGUUUGUUACUAAAUCUGUCCAUUUCCUUUCUAAAUACUAGUAUGAUAUGGGUGCUUUCAGAAAUAAGCCUUACGAGUUGUUCUCUUAGUUAACAUGACCCAUGAUGUUAGCUAAGCUCCUAUGUGUUAUAUUUCUAUUAUCAUUGUAUUCAACCUCAUUACUACUGUAUUUAGUGCAUAUUUGCACGCCUUUGGCUACUGGUCCAAAGUUCCAAAUCUAAUACAUGACCACCAAAACAACUUUAAAGAUGAAAAAAAUGAUCUAAAGUGAGUCUAUAUCUUUUGGGUGGUAUCCUAAGGGUGGAGGAAACACCUAGCAUGGGUCGAUCCCAAUAUUACGGGUGGUAUCCUAGGGACAAAAGGAAAGCCUACCAUGGGUCGAUCUCGAUUUGUAUACUUAUGAGGAACGCAUCCCAGGGGUUAAAAUGCCUAGUAUGGGUCAUCCUCUUUUACCACUGAUCAGCUGGUCAUUUGUAUUAUGCCUUAUAAUCUUAUAAAGUAAAGAAGAAUAAAGCAAAGUAAAGGAUAUAGUGUACAUGAUUCCAUAAGCAUAAGCAAAGUUGGUAUUCUAUCCUUAUCUUUAUAGUUAUAUAUUGAUAACUGAUUUUGUUGAGAUCUUGUCUUAUUUAUAGUCAUUUCAUGCCGUACAUACUCAGUACACUCUUUUUAUAGACACCCUUCGUGGGGGACACUAUUUUUCAUGCCGCAGGUACAGGUACUCUAACUAGUAGACCACCCCAGUAAGAGCACAGGACAUCCAGCUGCUAUUGGUGAGCUCCAAGUUGAUUUGGAGCUUUUCGAGUCUGUUAUAUAUUUUGGUAUUGUGUAGUAGUUAUAAGCAAGGUGGGGGUUUGUACCGACCUUAACUAAGUGUCCAGGUGUCUUUUAGAGGCUUUGCAUACUAUGUAAAAAGUGUGGUAGUAUUGUGUUCUUUUAAUGUUGUGGCCCCAACGGCAAAGUCUUGUAUAUGUAGGUUUGGACUUACUUACGUGGUUUGUUUUAUCAAUCCAUUUUAUCCAUACUAGCAAAAGCUUUGAAUGCCAUAAUUAUAUGUAUGAAAAGUACAUGGUUAAGAGUUGGUUCUCCUAAAAUAAGUGCCUGUCCGCCCCAAUGGAAUUUGAGGCGUGACAAAAUUGGUAUCAGAGCAGGUCAUCCUAGGGAGUUGUCUGCAAAGUCGUGUCUAUGUAGAGUCUUGCUUAUGGGUGUAUUGUGCACCACAUCUCUAAGUAGGAGGCUACGAGGCAUUUAGGAGUUGUUUCUUUUUCUUUUUUUCUUAGAUCGUGCGAUAGAGCCAAUAAUGUAGGUUGACUUGUAUUUAACCUUAAAUAUGUUUUUUUUUAAUAUAGUAAUAAUGCCGAUUACAAGAAGGAGUAAGAGUAAGAAGAGUAAACAAGUAGAUAUGGCUGCCGGAGAAAGGAUAAGUAAAACACCACCUAGAUAUGCUGAUCAAAGUGAGGCCCAAGAUGAGUUUGCAUCACGGACUUCUUCUACUCCUCCAUCUCCAGAAGAGUUAAGGAGGAGGGGAGUACCCCCAGAGUCACCUAUUAAUGCUACUGAGUAAGAUUUUAGUUAUGCGGUGCAAUUAUUAACACGUAUAGUUGCUGGACAAGGUCAAGGACAAGCUGGUCCAACUAUGGGUUCUAGUGGUGUGGAUAGGGCAGCCAGUUUAUGGACCCAAGAUUUCCUUAAAUUGGACCCUCCUCAAUUUACUGGUUCAGAUCCUAAUGAAGAUCCACAAAACUUUAUUGAUCAGAUUCAAAGGGCUUUAGAUGUUAUGCAUGUAUUUGGUAAAGAGACAGUGGAGUUAGCAGCAUAUCGAUUAAAGGGGGUGGCUAUAUUGUGGUAUGAAGCUUGGAAAAAGUCAAGGGGUAUAGGUGCACCUUUAGCUAGUUGGGAAGAAUUCAAAACAACAUUUCUUGAUCAUUAUCUUCCAUUUGAUAUUCGGGAGACCCGUGUAGAUCAGUUUUUAAAUCUUUGCCAAGGAAAUAUGAGCGUGAGGGAGUACAGUCUUCAAUUUAAUUCUUUGGCCAGGUAUGCUCCUAACGUAGUGGCUACUAUGGAGGAUAGAGUUCAUCGAUAUAUGGAUAGAUUGGACCCAUAUUUGGUUAGAGAUUGUACUAUUUCUGCCUUGAAUAAAGACAUGAAUAUAGCAAGAAUACAAGCAUUUGCUCAAAAAAUAGAGGAUCAAAGGCAAAGAAGGACACAAGAGCUGGAAAGAGGGCACUCCAAGAGGGCUAGAUCUAUGGGACAAUUUUUUCCAUCUCAGAGUGAAUUCAGGCCUCGAUUUUUCGAUAGACCCCCUAGACCAUCACCUUCCUACUCCACAUCAGGUGCUUCUCCUCGAUUCCAGGGGUUUAAGGGAAAUCAAUUCAGGCAAAAAAAUGAGAGUAAAGGUUCACAAGUAGUAUCGAGAGCAAGGAGAUGCAAGCCAAUCAAGACCUCCUAGACAGCUUUGUAAGCAUUGUGGAAGAAAUCAUCUAGGUGCAUAUCAGUUUGGGAUAAAUUCUUGUUAUUGGUGUGGCAUACCGGGACACAUAAUGAGAGAUUGCCCAAAAAGGGGCAUGACUGAUAUGGCAUGACCUACUGGAUCUACUGUUGCAUCAUCAUCCUUGGUUCCUUCUUUUGGUAGGGGUCAGCAGAUACCUACUGGUCAUGGUAGCGGUGUUAAGGGAGCUAGUUUUAGUGGUGUUCAGAAUUGUACAUAUGCUCUAGCAGGUAGACAAAAUUUGGAGGCUUCUCCUGACGUGGUUACAGGUACAUUGUCUAUCUUUUCACAUAAGGUAUAUGCAUUAAUUGAUCCAGUCCCUACAUUAUCAUAUGUUACUCCAUUAAUUGCUGAAAAGUUCAAAAAAACACCAGAAUUACUAGCUAAGCCAUUUAAAGUGUCUACACCAAUUGGAGAAUCUAUUAUAGCUAGAAGAGUUUACCGUAAUUGUAUAGUAACUAUUUGUAAUCUUGAUACAUUGGCUGACCUUUUGGAGAUUGAAAUGGUGGAUUUUGAUAUUAUAAUGGGUAUGGAUUGGCUGUCUUCUUAUUAUGCCACAGUGGAUUGUCGAGCUAAGAGGGUGCAUUUCCAUUUUCCAAAGGAAGCAGUCCUUGAGUGGAGGGGUAAUAUUGGGGCACCAAGGGGUUCCCUACAUUAUCAUAUGUUACUCCAUUAAUUGCUGAAAAGUUCAAAAAAACACCAGAAUUACUAGCUAAGCCAUUUAAAGUGUCUACACCAAUUGGAGAAUCUAUUAUAGCUAGAAGAGUUUACCGUAAUUGUAUAGUAACUAUUUGUAAUCUUGAUACAUUGGCUGACCUUUUGGAGAUUGAAAUGGUGGAUUUUGAUAUUAUAAUGGGUAUGGAUUGGCUGUCUUCUUAUUAUGCCACAGUGGAUUGUCGAGCUAAGAGGGUGCAUUUCCAUUUUCCAAAGGAAGCAGUCCUUGAGUGGAGGGGUAAUAUUGGGGCACCAAGGGGUAAGUUUGUUUCUUAUAUUAAGGCAAGGAAGAUGAUAUACAAAGGAUACAUAUGCCAUCUAGUAAGGGUGAAAGAUAUAGAGGCAGAGUCACCAACUCUUCAAUCCAUCUCAGUGGUAAAUGAAUUUUUUAACGUAUUUCCUGAAGAGCUUCCGGGUUUACCUCUGGAAAGAGAAGUGGAGUUUGGUAUUGAUGUGAUCCCAGGUACUCAACCGAUUUCUAUUCCUCCUUGUAGAAUGGCCCCUGCAGAAUUAUGUGAAUUGAAGGAACAAUUAAAAGAUUUGUUGGAAAAGGGUUUCAUAAGGUCUAGUAUAUCUCCUUGGGGCGCACUUGUGUUAUUUGUACGUAAAAAAAAUGGCACGUUGAGAAUGUGUAUUGAUUAUCGACAGUUAAAUAAGGUGACAAUUAAGAACAAAUAUCCCCUUCCUAGAAUUGAUGAUUUGUUUGAUCAUUUACAAGGUGCUAAGUGUUUCUCAAAGAUUGACUUAAGGUCAGGUUAUCAACUGAGAGUAAAGAAGAAAGACAUACCUAAAACGGCUUUUCGAAUGCGAUAUGGUCAUUUUGAGUUUUUAGUUAUGUCAUUUAGGCUAACUAAUGCACCAACAGCUUUCAUGGAUUUGAUGAAUAGAGUGUUUAAGCCAUUCUUGGAUGUAUUUGUUAUCGUAUUUAUAGAUGAUAUUCUGAUGUAUUCAAAAUGAGAAGAAGACCAUCCUAAUCAUUUACGAUAGGUGUUACAAAUCCUUUGCGAUCGUAAGUUGUAUGCAAAGUUCUCCAAAUAUGAGUUUUGGUUAAAAUCGGUAGCAUUCUUGGGUCAUAUUCUAUCCGAUGAAGGAAUAAGAGUUGAUUCUCAAAAGAUAGAGGCAGUGAAGAACUGGCCAAGAUCCAUGACGCCUACGGAGGUUCAUAGUUUCCUAGGCUUGGUAGGUUAUUAUAGAAAGUUCGUUGAGGGGUUUUCUUCUAUUUNNNNNNNNNNNNNNNNNNNNNNNNNNNNNNNNNNNNNUGUGAAAGAAGUUUUCAAGAUUUGAAGAAUAAGUUGACUUCUACACCCAUAUUAGUACUUCCAGAUGGCACGGAAGGCUAUGUGGUAUAUUGUGAUGCUUCAGGAGUUGGCUUAGGAUGUGUUUUGAUGCAACAUGGUAAAUUAAUAGCUUACACCUCAAGACAAUUGUGGCCACAUGAGAAGAAUUAUCCAACACAUGAUCUUGAGCUAGCAACAGUUAUAUUUUCCUUAAAAAUAUGGUGCCACUAUUUGUAUGGGGUACAUGUUGAUAUAUAUACCGACCAUAAGAGUUUGCAGUACCUCUUUAACCAAAGGGACCUAAACUUGAGGUAGCGAAGAUGGCUUGAGUUGUUAAAAGACUAUGAUGUUGAUAUCUUAUAUCAUCCGGGCAAAGCAAAUAUGGUAGCCGAUGCACUAAGUCGUAAGGCGAUGGCAAGUAAUUAUAGUCAGCCCAUGGGAAGGCAAGGGAUAGCUAAGGAUCUAUACCAAUUAGCUAGCUUAGGGGUUUGCCUUAUUGAAUCUUCAGAUAGAGGCGUUAUUGUGCAAAAUGCAGCAGAAUCCUCAUUAGUAGCCGAAGUUAAAGUGAAAUAAUACAUAGAUCCUAUUCUUUUACAGCUUAAGGAAAAUGUACAACAAGGUGUAACAAAGGCAUUUGAGCUUACAGAAGAGGGAAUACUUUGAUGCCAAAACAGAUUAUGUGUACCUAAUGUAAAUGGGCUAAGAAAGAAAAUUAUGAUGGAGGCACAUCAUUCAAGAUAUUCUAUCCAUCCCGAUUCAAGGAAAAUGUAUCAUGACUUGAAAGAGGUGUAUUGGUGGGGCGACAUGAAGAAGAACAUUGCAGAAUUUGUAGCUGAAUGUCCAACUUGUCAACAAGUCAAAGUGGAGCACCAAAAGCCAGGAGGUUAUAUGCAACUUAUGGAGCUCCUAACUUGGAAGUGGGAUAUGAUUAACAUGGAUUUCAUCACUGGUCUACCUCGAUCAUCUCAAAAAUUUGAUUCUAUAUGGGUAAUAGUUGAUAGACUCACCAAAUUGGCACACCAUCUACUGGUAAGACUACGUACACAGCUGAAGAGUAUGCAAAAUUAUAUUAAAGAGAUAGUUCGGCUGCAUGGAGUCCCAAUCUCUAUUAUAUUUGAUAGGGGAGCUCAAUUUACCGCACAUUUUUGAAGGUCAUUCCAGAAGAGUUUAGGAACACAAGUGAGUUUAAGCAUAGCUUUUCACGCUCAAACGGAUGGCCAGGCGGAACGUACAAUCCAAACAUUAGAGGAUAUAUUGCGUGCUUGUAUAUUGGACUUCAAACGUAGUUUGGAUGAUCAUUUGCCACUAAUUGAGUUUGCAUAGAACAAUAGUUAUCACUCGAGUAUCAAAAUGGCUCCUUAUGAAGCUUUAUAUGGCAGAAAGUGUAGAUCACCAAUUGGGUGGUUUGAAGUGAGUGAAACUAUCUUAUUUGGGCCAGAUCUUGUUCAUCAAGCUAUCGAAAAAGUUAAGCUGAUACAACAAUGAUUAGAAACAGCUAAAAGCCGACAUAAAUCAUAUGCGGAUACUAGAAGAAGAGGGUUAGAGUUUGCUAUAGGAGAUUCGGUAUUCUUGAAGGUAUCUCUAAUAAAAGGGGAAAUGAGGUUUGGUAAAAAGGGAAAACUAAGUCCCCGCUACAUAGGGCCAUAUAAAAUUAUUCAAAGAAUUGGCCAAGUGGCAUAUGAGUUAGACCUACCCCAAGAGAUUUUAAUGGUGCAUCCGGUGUUUCAUGUCUCAAUGCUCCGCAAGUGCAUAGGAGAUCCAUCCCAUAUUAUUUCUACUAAAGAUGUGCAGGUUACAGAAGAACUCACGUAUGAAGAAGUGCCUACUGCUAUACUAGAUCGGCAAGUUAAGAAGUUAAGAAAUAAAGAAGUAGCUUCAGUAAAAGUGCUUUGGAGGAGCCCGCAAGUAGAAGAAAUCACAUGGGAAGCUGAAGAAGAAAUGAAGUCAAAGUACCCUCAUUUAUUUAAAUCUAAAGACUUGGUCCAAGGAUGCUGAUUUGGGGAAUAAACAAGUAAGUGUAAAUACACAAGUGUUAUAUAGAUAACAAUGAGUUUAAACUUAGUCUUAUAUUCUUUUACGCUAGCUAGUUAUGCUAGCAUUCGAGGAUGAAUGUUUCUAAGGGGGGUAGGAUGUAACACCUUAUAUUUUGCGUGUACUAGUUCUACUUAUGUGGCACUUGAUAUGGACUUAUGGGGUAGGUAAUGGGCUCGGAUAUCCUAUGUGAUUGGUGACUGUAAGAUAGGUUUGGAGGAAUUCCCAUGUGUACUAAAACGUGGUAUGAUUAAGUUACCUUCGAUGAGAGAAUAUAAACUUGGGCCCUUAAAUAGGUAUUUGAAUCUAAAGGAUGAAGUGACCAAGUUUUAAGUUUAACUAUAAGCAUUUUGAUCUUAAAAUGGAAUAAAAUAUUGAGGUGCUUGGUUGAUUUAUUUUAAGCUAGUAGGUGAAUCACCUACUUUGACCUUUUGACCAACUUAAAAACUAAGUAGGUGAAUCACCUAUUAAGGAUCCCUUGACCAGCUUAUUGGGCCAAAUACACUACCACCUACUUAAGUUAAUUCUGGCCCAAAUUAAAUAAGAGAAAAGGAGGAGAAUGAGCAGCCAAGGCCCAAUAGUUUUUAAUCCACGAAGGCCCAAUAUAAUGAGAAAGUAGGUGCAUAGCCUACUUGAUAAAUUAUGGCCCAAAAAUUACCAAGAAAGUCGGCCAAGAGCAGCUCUUAUUAAAGGGAUUAAAACCAGCCCUUAUAGCUCAUUUUAACUAGCCAAAAAAAAAACAGCUUUCAAGAUUUUCUCUCUUGUUCUCUCUUAGCUAUGCAGCAGCCCUAAAAUUCCACUAGGGUUCUUUGGAAACCUUCCUUCCAAGUUAAAGGUAAGUGAACAAAUCAUGAGCACAUCUUAAGAAUACUAUAAGGAUUAUGUUCUCCAUGAUUAAACUAGAAGAUAUCCCUUUUUAAGUUUGGCAGUACCUUUAUCCUUGAUUUUUAAGAGAUUUUUCUCUUCACUUUUGGUUUGUGAGUAAAGGGAUCAAGCUAUUGAUACAUUAACGGAAUAAAAUACCACCGAAAUUAAGGUAUGACUACUAUUCAUUUUUUCCCUUUUCCUAUAUACGUGUGUUGGUUGAGGAUUGUGUAUAUGUUGUUGUUAAGAACUCAAGGGAUGGUGAGUUCAAUUUCUGGUUGCCAUAUUAAGGGGUAUUUGGGGCUAUUUUGGAUCAGUUUUUUGUAUGUAUGUUGGGGUCUUCUUGGUUGACGUUGGGGGAAUGGUGUGAAUAAUCUUCAUUGAAAGGUAGAAGAAGAGUAUAAUGGUACACCACCAAAUUGAAUGUCGCUUAAGUUUACUGCCCACAUCACUUGAUAUACUNNNNNNNNNNNNNNNNNNNNNNNNNNNNNNNNNNNNNNNNNNNNNNNNNNNNNNNNNNNNNNNNNNNNNNNNNNNNNNNNNNNNNNNNNNNNNNNNNNNAAUCUAACUCCUUUGUUACAAAGUAAGCUUCCUAAGCAUUCUUCCUUUCAAGUUAUACAUAACUAUAGCGUACAACCCCCAAGGUGGUUAACAACCUUAUUCUAACUUGUCAAGUUGUUAAAGUAUCUAAAGAUGUGUUUGUUACUAAAUCUGUCCAUUUCCUUUCUAAAUACUAGUAUGAUAUGGGUGCUUUCAGAAAUAAGCCUUACGAGUUGUUCUCUUAGUUAACAUGACCCAUGGUGUUAGCUAAGCUCCUAUGUGUUAUAUUUCUAUUAUUGUUGUAUUCAACCUCAUUGCUACUGCAUCUAGUGCAUAUUUGCACACCUUUGGCUACUGGUCCAAAGUUCCAAAUCUAAUACAUGACCACCAAAACAACUUUAAAGAUGAAAAAAAUGAUCUAAAGUGAGUCUAUAUCUUUUGGGUGGUAUCCUAGGGGUGGAAGAAACACCUAGCAUCGGUCGAUCCCAAUAUUACGGGUGGUAUCCUAGGGGAAAAAGGAAAGCCUAGCAUGGGUCGAUCUCAAUUUGUAUAGUUAUGAGGAAUGCAUCCCAGGGGUUAAAAUGCCUAGCAUGGGUCAUUCUCUUUUACAACUGAUCAGCUGGUCAUUUGUAUUAUGCCUUAUAAUCUUAUAAAGUAAAGAAGAAUAAAGCAAAGUAAAGGAUGUAAUGUACAUGAUUCCAUAAGCAUAAGCAAAAUUGGUAUUCUAUCCUUAUAUUUAUAGUUAUAUAUUGAUAACUGAUUUUGUUGAGAUCUUGUCUUAUUUAUAGUCAUUUUAUGCUGUACAUACUCAGUACACUCUUUGUAUUGACACCCUUCGUAGGGGACACUAUGUUUCAUGCCGUAGGUACAGGUACUCUAGCUAGUAGACCAACCCAGUAGGAGCACAGGACAUCCAGCUGCUAUUGGUGAGCUCCAAGUUGAUUUGGAGCUUUCCGAUCCUGUUAUAUAUUUUGGUAUUAUGUAGUAUUUAUGAGCAAGGCGGGGGUUUGUUCCGACCUUAACUAUGUGUCCAGGUGUCUUUUAGAGGCUUUGCAGACUAUGUGAAAAGUGUGGUGGUAUUGUGUUCUUUUAACGUUGUGGCCCCAACGGCAAAGUCUUGUAUAUGUAGGUUUGGACUUACUUACGUGGUUUGUUUUAUCAAUGCAUCUUAUCCAUACUAGCAAAAGCUUUGAAUGCCAUAAUUAUAUGCAUGAAAAGUACAUGGUUAAGAUUUGGUUCUCCCAAAAUGGGUGCCUGUCCGCCUCAAUGAAAUUUGAGGCGUGACAAAAAUAAUAGUGAAAAGUCAUUUAAAGGUCAUAUUUAUGCAGUUUUAAAUAGUUAAAGGUCAUAUUUGUGCACUGUCAAAGUUUAAGGUCAUAUUUAUGUAUUAUGCCCUUAGAUUUUAAGCUGGAUGCGUCCAGUUUUGCAUGUUGAACACACGUUUUUCCACGUAGGAUUAGAGGUUAUAUUUGUGCAGUUUUGAAUAGUUAAAGGUCAUAUUUGUGCACUGUUAAAGUUUAAGGUCAACGUUAUAAUUUGGUGUCAAGUUUAAGGUCAUUUUUAUGUAUUAACUCAAUAAAAUAUCAAAAUAUUUAUGACAAUCAUCAUUAAUGUCAUGCAUACAAUAAAUUUCAAGUACGAAUAUAUAAUUUAAAGGGAAAAAAAUUGUAUUUAAAUAGUGCACAUUAAUUAUUUAACAACUUUACGAGGAAACGACAAUUAAUGUUUUUUUUAUAUUUGUGCUCUUUCUAAUUUUACAUACUUUUGUUUAUAAUAGCUAAAUGAGAUUUGAACUUCAAAUGCCAGAAUACAUGUAUGACAACACCUUUCUAUGGCAACUAUGAAAUUUUCAGACAUAUAUAUAUAUAUAUAUAUAUAUACAUAUAUUCUCUUAUUUAUAAGAGGCAAUUUAGCAGCUGAAACAGGCAGGAGGUCAACAUACCUGCUUCAGCUGCUUCAAUUGUGAUUUUACGAUAUCACCUCUAAUUAAUUAUUAUAAGUCAUUUACAUAAUAACAAAUUAAUAAUAUUUAAUUAGAAAAAAUAAAAUAGUUAUUUAUGACAUGUUUUCUUCAGCUGCUUCAACCAUAAUUUUACUGUAUCACCCUUAAUUAAUUAUUAUAAUUCAUCUAAGUAUUAAAAAUUUAAUAAUAUUUAAUAAAAAGGUAAAAUAGACAUAAACUGAAAAUUAACUCUUGAUGUUUUAAAUUAACUUAACAACUUAUAUGAGACCUUCUUAAAUUUUUUUCACAGGUAUUUUUCUAAAGUAAUUUUGAUAAAGGGAGUUCAUCAGCAGAAGCCGAAAGUAGAUCGACAUGCCUGUUUCAGCUGCUUCAAUCGUAAUUUUGCUAUAUUGCAGCUAAUUAAUUAUUAUAAGUCAUCUACAUGUUAGAAAAUUAAUAAUAUUUAAUACAAACAAGUAAAAUAAAUACUUUUGGCAUGUUUGAUUUAACUACUUCGAUCGUGAUUUUAUUAUAUCACCCAUAAUUAAUUAUUAUAAGUUAUCUAAGUAUUUAAAAAAUUAAUAAUACUUAAUAAAAAAUAGAUAUAAAAUGAUAAUCUUACUAUGCCACUUCUAAUUAGUAGAAUGGACGAAAAAUUAUUAUAAAUCAUAAUAAUUUACAACUUAAAUUAUUUUUAAAAUAUAAUUGACUAUCAAUGCUACAAAAGACUGAACAAGGAGAGUAACAUAUAUUAUUUAAAAAUUACAUAAAAAGUACUAAAAAUUACAAUGGUUAACAACUUAAAAUAUCUAAGAACAUAUUAAAAAUAUGAUUAAUUAUCUAAAUUUUAUUCGUGUCACAUAAAUUGAAGCGAAAAAAUAAUUUAUAUUGGGCCGUGCUAGUAUAUAUCUACAAUAUAUUAAAAGUGUGAAGACCUUUAUAAAAGUGAUUUGAAAUUUUUAACCUUCAUUAAAAGACUCUUCUUUAGAUAAAAUUUCCGUUUCAUGAAAUUAUCUUCCAAAGUAUGGUUUUUUUAUAAAAAAAUACCCAAAACAUGGUUUUCAGAAACCUGCAUAUUUUUAUUUUUUAAGCAUCAAAAGUUCUAUAUUUCUAUAGCACAUUAGAUCUUUAAGGUUUUUUGAAUAAGUUGGAAAAUUUUUUUGGGUUAUGCAUGCCACUAAUAUGGAGGGUGUGGAAUUUAUUGCCUACUAAUUGAAAGAUGUAGCAUACCAAUGGUAUGAGGAAAUAGAACAGUCUAGGGGUGAUGAUGCUGAGUUAUCCCUAUGGGAUGAUUUCUCUACUAUAUUCUUGGUCCGCUUCUUAUCUCAGGAGUUGAGAGAGGCUAAGGCAGAAGAGUUUGUUAACCUGAAGCAAGGCAAGAAGUCAGUCAAGAAGUAUGCUUUGAUGUUUCACCAGCUGUCUCGAUAUGCUCUAUAGUUGGUUUCUACCAUGAGGGCUAGAAUAAGAAAGUUCACUUUUGGAUUGUCCCAAGACUUAGUUUUAGAGAGUAAGGCUGCCUUGUUGAAUAAGGACAUGAAUUUAUCCAGGUGGGUUAUAUAAAUAUAGUAGGUUGAGAAAGAAAAGAGGAAGCAUGUGGAGAUAGGGGAAAGAUAGAGCUAGAAGUCUAUAUUUUCUGAGCGGGUGGCAGCCAACAAUAGAGUGGCAGUAAUAGUGGAAAGUGGUCUAAAAAAGUGGGCAAUUCCAGAUCUUACUCGACGGCAAGUGCUCCCUACCCAAAGUCAUCGGGUGAUAAACAUUUUCAUGAUGGCGAUAAUUAUAGGGAACAGGGUGUCCAAUCUCAGGCUAGUGGGGCCCAAUCAGCUCCAUCCUAUCCUCCUUACAAAUUUUAUGGUCGAUCGCAUUGGGGCUACUGUGAUGAAAGAAAGGACAAGUGCUUCCACUGUGGUUAUCUAGGGAACAUGCUUAGAAACUAUUCAAUUAUUAAGGUUGCUUUUAGGGAAAACAAGGUUCCAAUUGCCUUUUCAUCAGCUCCGGUACCAAAGGGUGCAUCAUCUAGCUCUGGCACUGGUCAGAACCGACUCUAUUCUCUUACUACCCAUCAAGAGUCUAAGGCAUCACGUGAUGUCAUUACUGGUAUAUUGAAACUCUUUUCCCAUGAUGUGUACUACUUACUUGAUCCGAGGUCCACUCUUUCUUAUGUGAUCUCAGUGUGAUUGUGGAUUUUUAUUUUGGUCUUGAGUAUAUUUUGAACCUUUUUUCUAUUUAUACCCUGUGGGUAACUCUGUGGUUUCCAGGAGAGUCUAUAGGGGUUGUGUGGUAUCUAUGGGUGGUCGGGAGACUUUGGUAAAUCUGUUUGAGUUAGACAUGGUUGAUUUUGAUGUCAUCUUGGGGAUGAAUUGGUUGCACUCUUGCUAUACUUCUCUAAACUGUCAAACCUGUAAGGUCAUCUUAAAAUUCCCUAAUGAGCUAGUUAUUGAGUGGGAGGGUAGUUCCCUUGCUCCUAAGGGGAGGUUCAUAUCAUAUCUUGGUGCUCUACUAUUAAUCUCCAAGAGGUGUCUCUAUCAUUUGGUCCAGGUUAAAAAUUCUAAAUCAAAAGGUCCUUCUUUACAUUUUAUCCUGGUGGUGAAUAAAUUUCCUGAGGUCUUUUCGUACGACUUUCCUGGUGUUCCUCCCGAUAGGGAGAUUGAUUUUUGGAUAGAUCUUGUUCUGGACACUCAUCUUAUUUCUAUUCUCCCAUCUAGAAUAGUUUUGGCAGAGUUAAACAAGCUUAAGGAGAAACUAAAUGAUCUUUUAGACAAGUGUUUCAUCCAUCCUAGUAUGUCUCCAUGGGGUGCACUAGUACUGUUCAUGCAUAAGAAGGAUGGUUUCCUUCGUAUAUGUAUUGAUUACUGGCAACUGAAUAAGAUGAUGAUAAAGAAUAAGUUCCUCAGAAUUUAUUUGAUCAGCUUCAAAGUCCUAAGUUUUUCUCCAAGAUUGAUAUUUAAUUUGAGUAGCCUUAUCUAAAGAUUAGGGAGAUGGAUAUUCUUAAGACUGCCUUCCAUAACUAAUAUGGGCAUUUUGAGUUUCUGGUUAUAUCUUUUGGAUUGACCAAUUCCCCAAUGACAUUCAUGGAGUUGAUGAAUAUAGUCAUCAAUUUUUGGAUUUUUUCCUCAUUGUGUUCAUAGACAAUAUUCUGGUGUACUCAAAAAGUGAGGUGGAUGAUACCGAUCACCUCCACACUGUGUUGCAGACCCUAAAAAAUUAGUAUAUGUAUGCAAAAUUUUUGAAAUGUGAAUUCAGGUUGAACGCUGUCACUUUUUUGCGCUAUGUCAUUUCUAGUGAAGAGAUCAUGGUAGAUCUGCAGAAAGUUCUAGUGGUUAAGAAAUGGCCUAGACCUAUGACUCCAAUCGAUAUUCGAAGCUUCUUAGGUUUAUCUGGUUACUAUAGGAGAUUUAUGGAACUUUUUUUGGUUAUAGCUAUCUCAUUGACUAAGUUAACUCAGUAAAAAGUUAAGUUCUUAUGGUCUGAUGCUUGUGAUGGUAGCUUUGAGUAGCUGAAGGAUAAACUGACUUCAGAAUCGGUGUUGACUUUGCCUAAAGGCAUGGAUGGUUUUGUGGUUUAUUUUGAUGAGUUCCGAGUGGGGCUUUGUUGCGUUUAGAUGCAACAUGAUAAGGUGAUAGAUUAUACCUCAAAAUAGUUGAAGAUGUAUAAGAAAAAUUACCCAACUCAUGAUUUGGAGCUAUAGGCUAUAGUGUUUGCAUUGCAAAAUCUGGCAUCACUAUUUGUAUAGAGUCCAUGUGGAUAUCUUUUUUCUGAUCAUAAAAGUCUGCAAUAUGUGUUUAACUAAAAAGGGCUUAACCUCAGGUAGAGGAGAUGGUUACUACCAUCUAGGAAAAGCUAACAUGGUUGCUAAUGCUCUUAGUAGGUUAUCCAUGGGGAGUCUAGCUCAUGUGGAUGAGGGAAAGAGAGAAUUAGUGAAAGAUAUUCACUGCUUGGCAAACCUUAAAGUUCAUCUCUUAGACUCUAAGGAAGGUGGUAUAUUUGUUCAGGAGGUGGCGAAGUCGUCCCUGGGUACCGAGGUGAAGGAGAAACAAGUGUUAUAUCCUACCUUGAUGAGGAUCGAGGGUGAUGUAGGUAGGUAGAAAGUAAUGAAUUUUGAGGUUAGUGGUGGUGGUACCUUGAGGUACCGAGUGAUAUUAUGUGUUCCUAAUAUGGAUAGAUUGCGAGAGAGGAUCCUAGAUAAGGUGCAUGAGUCGAGCUAUGCUAUUCAUCCUAGCUUGACAAAAAUGUAUCAUAAUCUUAAAAAAAUGUAUUGGUGGAACAAUAUGAAGUUGGAUGUGGCUAGUUUUAUGGCUAUGUGCAUAGUUUGCCAAUAAGUGAAAGUUGAGCACUUGAGGCUUAGAGGGUUGUAUCAAGAAAUUGAGUUGCCUGUGCGAAAGUGGGAAGUGAUCAACAAGGAUUUUGUUACCAGUCUUCCUCAGUCUUAGAAUUAGUUCGAUUUGAUUUGGGUCUCGUGGAUAGGAUGACUAAGUCUGCUCACUUUUUUCCAGUGAGGACUAGUUUUUUGGUAGAGGAUUAGGGAAGGUUGUACCUUUAAGAGAUUGUGAAAUUGCAUGGGGUAACUAUUUCUAUUAUCUCAGAUCGUGGUAUGCAAUUUUCAUCAUAGUUUUAACGAUUAUUUCAGAAAGGUUUGGGGACCAAGGUGAGUCUUAGUACUGCUUUCCAUCCACAGUCAAAUGGGCAAGCAAAAAGUGCUAUUCAGACAUUGGAAGAUAUGCUUCGUGCUUGCGUGAUUGACUAUAGUGGUAGUUGGGUUAAACUUUGCCUCUUAUAGAGUUUGCAUAUAACAAUAUCUACUACUCUAGCAUUGGGAUGGCUUUGUUUGAGGCCUUAUAUGGAGAAGGUAUAGGUUUCCUAUUGGGUGGUUCGAUGUUGGUAAGGCGGACAUAUUUGGUUCGAAUUUCAUUCAUCAAGCCAUGGAGAAGGUGAAGGUGUUUCGAGAUAGGCUUAAAGCUGCCAAAAUUAUCUUGAGGUUGUCCCUAUGAAGGGAGUGAUGUGGUUUGGGAAGAAUAAAAAUCUUAGUCCUCGGUAUAUUGGUCCGUACUUAGUUUUAAGAAGGGUUGGCAAUGUUGCAUAUGAGUUGGAGUUGCCUUCUAGUUUGAGCUCCAUUCACCUCAUGUUCCAUAUUUUUAUGGUAAGAAAGUGUGUGGGUGAUCCGUCACAAAUUGUACCUAUCAAGGAUAUUAGUAUUUUGGAUAUCCUAUCUUAUGAGAAGGUCCCUGUUGAAAUCUUGGAUCGGCAGAUUUGUUGGUUGUGGACUAAGGACAUAGCUUUGAUAAAGGUCCUGUAGAGGAACCAACAGGUCAAAGAGGCUACUUGGGAAGCUGAAGAGGACAUAAAGUCCAACUAUCCAUUCUUAUUUUCCAUUUUGGAAAAUCAUGCUUUAGGUAUGUGUUGUUCUUAAUAUCAUUGUUUUUCUGUCUUUGUGAAAGGUAGAUUGUGAAAUUCCUUGGUAAUUUAUUUUGUCUUAAAAGUGAGGGUAGAGAUCUUUGGGGGUUUAAUUGUUCUAGUCACUCCCUUGUCCCAUCAUUUGAGUAGAAAAGAUCUAAGUGGGGGAGAAUUGAAACACCCUGGAUUUUGGCCUAUGGAAAAUUCUUGAACUUUGAGCUUACUAUCCUAGUAACAACUCAUCCUAUGAGUCGUAUGGUGUGGGUACGGGUAAGAAGAGCCUAGUUGUUAGGUUUCUAGCAGGUGGUGGUUGGAUUUUCAGUCUUGGUAACGACUUGGUGGUAUGAAUUGUUAGGACGAUCCUUAAGCAAAUCAGUAAGUUAGUGACUUUACUUGGAUCUGAGUACAAGUGGCUUACUAAGAGUCGUGAGGAUAGGUUACGAGUGGUACGGUUGAGUCGUAUGUUGUCCAGUGUCCAAUUCCUUGGAUUUUAUCUUAGAUUCAACUAGAUCAUAUGAGUCUUAUGGUACGAUCACAUGUGGGGUCAAGGAGUUGUAUGGUGGACAGUGUAUGGGUUUCCAACUCAUUAUCUUGGUGACAACUUCAGGGUGCGAUUCGUAUGUUCUGGUCACGAGUCAAAGGUUCAACUCAUAACCACCUGUGGUCUUUUUACAAUUUUAGUUGGGGGUACUUUAGACAUUUCUCACUUAAAACCCUUAAGACCCUAUGUCCCUAUAACACUUUUUGGUCAUUCAUUCCACACUUUAUAAGAUUAACCAUCCUCUUUACUUUCUCAAAAUUCUCUCAAGCAAAAUUGGCUAGUGUUUCUCUAAAGGGGUCAUCUAAGGGCUUAAGGAUCAACUUCUCUCCUUGAAUCUUUGUAAUUCAGGCAUGUGACUCUUCCCUCAUUGCUAGUUUACUAAAGCAGAUGUUUAAAGUAUUAUUCAUGAAUCAUUAGUGGUGGUUUAAAACCAAGGUUGAGGGGUUUGAAUACAUAUCAUUGAAUAUUAUCUUCUAUGGUUUAAAUUGUGAUUAUACAUAUUUUAAUUUUGGUUUUACAUAUAUGGGUGCAUGGGAAUGGUGAUUUAAUUUUGGGGUCAUGGUUGAACCCCAAAAAUUUAAUGAGUUUGGCUUUGAUAAUGGCAUGCCCUUAACUUGGUUAUGAAAUUGUCAAUGAGAAUGAUAUUAUCACAAGUUGAAUUGUGUUUUUGAACUAAGGGUUUGGCAUAGCCAUGAUAGUAACUGAUGAUAGACUUUAUAAAGGUUUUUAUGGAUAUAAAUUGAAUUGAAUUGAAAACCUUGUGGGGUACAUGGGAAUCCCUAAAGUGAUUUUAGUAGUGGAGCCAGUGGGGUAUGAAGGACUCCCCUAAGGGUUGGCGGGUGACAUUGCAUGCAAGCUAUAGUCAGCAUGACGAUACUACUUUAUAAUGCCUUAAUAAUUGAAUCCUAGAAUUGGUGGUUUGGUUAUGUGCUAAAGGUUUUAAUUGUGUAAUAAUGGGGGCUGUGAUAGCUAGCCGUGAAGGUGUGAAUCCAAAGGUUGUACACUGGAAACUCAUGAUUGCCGUCAUGAGGUUUGGUCUUGAUGACCUAUGUACAUGGUUCACACUAUUGAUAUGAUUGUAUCUUAGUCUGACAUAGGGUUGGGGCAUUCCCUGGUCUUUCUUGAUACCCCUGGUUUAUGCGGCUAACACACACUAGGGCCCUUUUAGCAGGAGGAGCUGAACCCAUAUA
Molecule: long non-coding RNA, 33572 nt
Filed under: Capsicum annuum
Lineage: Eukaryota; Viridiplantae; Streptophyta; Magnoliopsida; Solanales; Solanaceae
Description: long non-coding RNA (CANN_LNC004809)
Source: RNAcentral